This 271-nucleotide ribosomal RNA is filed under the name uncultured bacterium. RNAcentral's name for it is "partial 16S ribosomal RNA". It matches the Rfam family "Bacterial small subunit ribosomal RNA", at positions 29 to 329 of the family's 1533-position model. The record is from RNAcentral.
AACGAACGCUGGCGGCAGGCUUAACACAUGCAAGUCGAACGCACCGCAAGGUGAGUGGCAGACGGGUGAGUAACGCGUGGGAACGUGCCCUUCAGUUCGGAAUAACCCAGGGAAACUUGGGCUAAUACCGGAUACGUGCGAGAGCAGAAAGAUUUAUCGCUGAAGGAUCGGCCCGCGUCUGAUUAGCUAGUUGGUGGGGUAAUGGCCCACCAAGGCGACGAUCAGUAGCNGGUCUGAGAGGAUGAUCAGCCACAUUGGGACUGAGACACGG